AGCGAACAUUGGCGGUAGGCUUAACACAUGCAAGUCGAGCGAGGCGUAAUAGUCGAGCGGCGAACGGGUGCGUAAUACAUGGGAAUCUACCUCGAAGUGGGGGAUAACGUCCAGAAAUGGAUGCUAAUACCGCAUAAUCCAUAUUGGGAAAGCGUUGCAGCGCUUUGAGAUGAGCCCAUGGCUGAUUAGCUAGUUGGUGAGGUAAUGGCUCACCAAGGCGACGAUCAGUAGCUGGUCGGAGAGGAUGACCAGCCACACUGGAACUGAGACACGGUCCAGACUCCUACGGGAGGCAGCAGUGGGGAAUCUUGCGCAAUGGGGGCAACCCUGACGCAGCCAUACCGCGUGAGUGAUGAAGGUCUUCGGAUUGUAAAGCUCUUUCGGCGGGGACGACGAUGACGGUACCCGCAAAAGAAGUCACGGCUAACUUCGUGCCAGCCGCCGCAGUAA
This 450-nucleotide ribosomal RNA is filed under the name uncultured bacterium. RNAcentral describes it as "partial 16S ribosomal RNA". It matches the Rfam family "Bacterial small subunit ribosomal RNA", at positions 29 to 523 of the family's 1533-position model. The record is from RNAcentral.